Molecule: ribosomal RNA, 445 nt
Filed under: uncultured bacterium
Lineage: Bacteria
Description: partial 16S ribosomal RNA
Rfam family: Bacterial small subunit ribosomal RNA
Source: RNAcentral
GUAAGGAAUAUUGGUCAAUGGACGAAAGUCUGAACCAGCCAUGCCGCGUGAAGGAUGAAGGCCCUCUGGGUUGUAAACUUCUUUUAUCUGGGACGAAAAAAGGGUAUUCUUACUCACUUGACGGUACCAGAGGAAUAAGCACCGGCUAACUCCGUGCCAGCAGCCGCGGUAAUUCGGAGGGUGCAAGCGUUAUCCGGAUUCACUGGGUUUAAAGGGUGCGUAGGUGGGUAUUUAAGUCAGUGGUGAAAUCUCCGAGCUUAACUCGGAAACUGCCAUUGAUACUAUUUACCUUGAAUGCCCUGGAGGUAAGCGGAAUAUGUCAUGUAGCGGUGAAAUGCUUAGAUAUGACAUAGAACACCAAUUGCGAAGGCAGCUUACUACGGGGUGAUUGACACUGAGGCACGAAAGCGUGGGGAGCAAACAGGAUUAGAUACCCCAGUAGUCC